This 164-nucleotide ribosomal RNA is filed under the name Pectinodesmus pectinatus. RNAcentral's name for it is "partial 28S ribosomal RNA". The record is from RNAcentral. Lineage: Eukaryota; Viridiplantae; Chlorophyta; Chlorophyceae; Sphaeropleales; Scenedesmaceae.
GAGCUCGGCAAGGCUACCCGCUGAACUUAAGCAUAUCAUAGCGGAGAGAGAAACUACUAGAUGCGCUAGUACGCAAGCGACGCGCAAGGCACCUGGAAAUCUCCUGAGAUUGUAGUCUUAUAGAAAGUACCCCUUUGGCGACGGCCGAGCUCAAGUCCUUCCUG